RNAcentral lists this unclassified non-coding RNA (261 nucleotides) under plant metagenome. RNAcentral's name for it is "partial contains 5.8S ribosomal RNA, internal transcribed spacer 2, and large subunit ribosomal RNA". The record is from RNAcentral.
GGGCAAGGACCAGCCUAUGUGGUGCGUUUUCUGCCACCCGGAGCACCGCUUCGUCGAUGAGGUCUGGAGCGCGCUUGGAAGGAUGGGUGGCUAGCAUGAGACCGUAAACUAGCCUUCUAUAGGCCCAUUUUCUGCAACUGCCUUAUCCUACUAAAUUUGCCCGAAAGCCCGUACCUAUGAGAAACAGGCGUGAACAGGAGGCGGAGCAGGUUACACUUGCCUAAUGAUUUCGGUAAAAAGUGAGAGGUGAAAAAGUUGGGC